UUGCACGCUGGCGGCAUGCUUUACACAUGCAAGUCGAACGGCAGCGAGGAGAAGCUUGCUUCUCUGUCGGCGAGUGGCGAACGGGUGAGUAUAGCAUCGGAACGUGCCAAGUAGUGGGGGAUAACCAAACGAAAGUUUGGCUAAUACCGCGUAAGCUCUAAGGAGGAAAGUAGGGGACCUAAAUAAGGCCUUACGCUAUUUGAUCGGCCGAUGUCGGAUUAGCUAGUUGGUGGGGUAAUGGCUCACCAAGGCAAUGAUCCGUAGCGGGUCUGAGAGGACGAUCCGCCACACUGGGACUGAGACACGGCCCAGACUCCUACGGGAGGCAGCAGUGGGGAAUUUUGGACAAUGGGGGAAACCCUGAUCCAGCCAUGCCGCGUGUAUGAAGAAGGCCUUAGGGUUGUAAAGUACUUUUGUUAGGGAAGAAAAGCUAGUUUUUAAUAAAAAUUAGUGAUGACGGUACCUAAAGAAUAAGCACCGGCUAACUACGUG
Molecule: ribosomal RNA, 492 nt
Filed under: uncultured bacterium
Lineage: Bacteria
Description: partial 16S ribosomal RNA
Rfam family: Bacterial small subunit ribosomal RNA
Source: RNAcentral